AAAACACCUAGCCUCGCCACACCCCCACGGGAUUCAGCAGUAAUUAACAUUAAGCAAUAAGCGAUACUACUCUUUAAGCUUGACUUAGUUAUAGUACCCCCGGUCGGUAAAUUUCGUGCCAGCCACCGCGGUUAUACGAAAGACCAAAAAUAAUAAUGCCCGGCAAAAAACGUGACUAGAGAUAUAAUCUACAAUGAAAUUUAAAUCCUAACCAAGUUAUAAAACACACCAGGAUAACAGGGAAACUCCUCAAAAUUUCAUUUAAAAUUACCCCUUGAUCUCACGAAAACCAAGAAACAAACUGGGAUUAGAUACCCUAUUAUGCUUGGUCAUAAACCUUGACAUAUUAAACAUGUCCGCCAGAGUACUACAAGUGAAAAACUUAAAACUCAAAGGACUUGACGUGUCCCACACCAACCUAGAGGAGCCUGUCCUAUAAUCGAUACCCCACGAAACACCUUACCUUUCCUAGUACAUUCAGCCUAUAUACCGCCGUCGUCAGCCUACCUUACGAGAGUUAUCUAGUAGACAAAAUCAGUUAACCACAAAAACGUCAGGUCAAGGUGUAGCACAUGGAAAGGAAAGAGAUGGGCUACAUUUUCUAAUAAGAAAAAACAACAAUACAAUGAAAAUAAUAUUCUACGGUGGAUUUAGCA
This 656-nucleotide ribosomal RNA is filed under the name Strophurus intermedius (Southern spiny-tailed gecko). Its description in RNAcentral is "partial 12S ribosomal RNA". It matches the Rfam family "Bacterial small subunit ribosomal RNA", at positions 321 to 1337 of the family's 1533-position model. Lineage: Eukaryota; Metazoa; Chordata; Lepidosauria; Squamata; Diplodactylidae. The record is from RNAcentral.